UUUGAGAACACAUCUUGUUGCUUCGGGGGCGACCCUGCCGUUUCGACGGCAUUCCCCCCGGAGGUCAUCAAAACACUGCAUUCUUACGUCGGAGUAUAAAGUUAAUUUAAUAAAACUUUCAACAACGGAUCUCUUGGUUCUGGCAUCGAUGAAGAACGCAGCGAAAUGCGAUAAGUAAUGUGAAUUGCAGAAUUCAGUGAAUCAUCGAAUCUUUGAACGCACAUUGCGCCCCCUGGUAUUCCGGGGGGCAUGCCUGUUCGAGCGUCAUUUCACCACUCAAGCCUCGCUUGGUAUUGGGCGCCGCGAGUCUCUCGCGCGCCUCAAAGUCUCCGGCUAGGCGGUUCGUCUCCCAGCGUUGUGGCAACUAUUCGCAGAGGAGUUCGAGUCGUCGAGGCCGUUAAAUCUUUCAAAGGUUGACCUCGGAUCAGGUAGGGAUACCCGCUGAACUUAAGCAUAUCAAUAAGCGGAGGAA
Molecule: ribosomal RNA, 472 nt
Filed under: fungal sp. NLR-2013
Lineage: Eukaryota; Fungi
Description: eukaryotic LSU rRNA
Rfam family: 5.8S ribosomal RNA (bases 114-267)
Source: RNAcentral